UCCCGCUUAGCUCAGUGGUAGAGCGCAUCACUAGUACCUUCGCAAGGGUAUGAUGAGGUCAGUCGUUCAAGUCGGCUAGUGGGAA
Molecule: non-coding RNA, 85 nt
Organism: Polyporus arcularius HHB13444
Lineage: Eukaryota; Fungi; Basidiomycota; Agaricomycetes; Polyporales; Polyporaceae
Source: the annotation of a GenBank genome assembly